GGGCCCGUAGCCUAGCACGGAUUAAGGCGUCAGCCUUCGGAGCUGAAGACACGCGCCUCAGAGACCAUGGGUUCGAAUCCCACCGGGCCCG
This 91-nucleotide transfer RNA is filed under the name Nitrososphaerota archaeon. Its description in RNAcentral is "tRNA-Arg". It matches the Rfam family "tRNA". From Rfam's summary of the family: Transfer RNA (tRNA) molecules are approximately 80 nucleotides in length. Their secondary structure includes four short double-helical elements and three loops (D, anti-codon, and T loops). Lineage: Archaea; Thermoproteati; Nitrososphaerota. The record is from RNAcentral.